RNAcentral lists this transfer RNA (71 nucleotides) under Plasmopara halstedii. It matches the Rfam family "tRNA". Rfam says of the family: Transfer RNA (tRNA) molecules are approximately 80 nucleotides in length. Their secondary structure includes four short double-helical elements and three loops (D, anti-codon, and T loops). The record is from Rfam by way of RNAcentral. Lineage: Eukaryota; Oomycota; Peronosporomycetes; Peronosporales; Peronosporaceae.
GCCCUUUUAGUCUAAUGGUUAGGACAUUUCUUAUCACGGCAAAAAUACGAGUUCAAUUCUCGUAAAGGGGA